CUAACUUGGGGGCGGCGGCGGGGGGGAGACGUGGGGUGGAAGCGGUGGCCGUAAUUUGUGGGCGUAAAUGUCUCGUAGGUGGUUGAUUAACGCAGAGGUGAAAUCUCAGGGCCCAACCCUGAGCCUGCAUUGGAUACUGCUCUGACUAGAGUCCGGUAUGGGAGUGCGGAACUCCUGGUGUAGCGGUGAAAUGCGCAGAUAUCAGGAAGAACACCGACAGCGAAGGCAGCACUCUGGGCCGGUACUGACACUGAGGAGCGAAAGCAUGGGUAGCAAACAGGAUUAGAUACCCGUGUAGUC
This 300-nucleotide ribosomal RNA is filed under the name uncultured Methanomassiliicoccus sp. Its description in RNAcentral is "bacterial SSU rRNA". It matches the Rfam family "Bacterial small subunit ribosomal RNA", at positions 497 to 795 of the family's 1533-position model. The record is from RNAcentral. Lineage: Archaea; Methanobacteriati; Thermoplasmatota; Thermoplasmata; Methanomassiliicoccales; Methanomassiliicoccaceae.